This is a long non-coding RNA of Neofelis nebulosa (Clouded leopard), 1952 nucleotides long. RefSeq lists it as uncharacterized. Lineage: Eukaryota; Metazoa; Chordata; Mammalia; Carnivora; Felidae. The record is from RefSeq and is a predicted model, not a curated record. The transcript is spliced from 5 exons.
GGAGGAGGAGAAGAAGAAGAAGAAGAAGAAGAAGAAGAAGAAGAAGAAGAAGAAGAAGAAGAAGAAGAAAACUAAAAAACAUAGAAGGAAAAAAGGGCGUGUGCUUUUUUAGGGGCAACUACGAAAAAAUAUAGACUGAGAAAUAUAGACUCUGCUUUAAGUGAUUCUGUCAAGGGUCUUAUUAGAUAUAUACAGUUAUGACCACUUUUGCCACUUAAUACUUAGCAGAAUGCUUUACAGUCAUCACCAUAUAAGCAUGUACAACAAAGAGAUAAAGACACGGACUUACUUGUUUGUUACCAAAUAUCACACGGGAGGUCAGAUGAGGAAGGCGAGAAACCCAGGGUUUUUCUUUUUCUUAUAAACUCUGAUGACACAUAGUCUCAAUAAUGAAAGAUUUCAGGGACAAAGAAAAGCUACUGAGAUAUGUAAAUGCAGUUAUAAGAAAGCAAUAGGUCAAAUAAAGGUUUUAAAUAACUUAAUGAACACAUAUGAGACCAAGUUUGAGAAGACAAGGUUUGACUUGCCUUUAACAAGUCAAUUUCCUUAGACCAAACUUCAUCAAAAAAAAAAAAAGUUAGCAUAAAUUAUGUCUAAAAUCUCUCUGAAUAAGGAAGGAAUCAUGAUAAGAUAGAAAGGGUACAGAUUUUAGGGUCAUUAUUGCCUGGAUUUUAAUCUAAAAUUCAUCACAUAUUGGUUGCGUGAGCAGUGGCAAAUGAAUUAACCUUCACGAGUCUAAAUUUACUCUCGGAAUAAGUACCAUCAGGAUUGUUGUGGGAAUUAUAAACAAUGGAAAUAAGCACUUGGCACAGAACUUGGCACAUAGUAGACACCAAAAUAUAUUAUUUCCUCCUAUUCCUUUAUUACCUUAAAAUUCUAUGAAUUAUAGAAGCCAGAUUACCCAGGUUAUAAUUUAAAGAUUAUUGUCUCUAGGUCUUUCUUCUGAAGUGAACUUGUGCUAGUAACUAUGCUUAUUCAUGAGUUAAACUAUGGUUAAUAUAUAUGCUUUGCCUCUUCUCUGCUUGUUGUAAUAAAAUAAACAAUAUAAAAUCACAGCCACAAAAAAGCUUUACUCAUAGACAGGGAAGCAAUUAGCACUUCUGGGUGUGUACAGGGUUCUAGCUGAUUUGUCUGCAGUAUCAUCUCAACUUCAUUACAAUACUGUGAUGAGUUAUUUCACAAGUGAGAAAACCCUGAAAAGGUAAGUAACGUGGCUAAGGCCACCCAACUGUUAAGCCACAGAGCAGCAGAGUGAGUGCAGGUGUCCUCACCUAGCCACUCUACACAGGACUUCUGAAGCACCAAGCGAGAAAAGGAAGAAAAGUCCAUGUUAAUUCAUCAUAUAUUCUAAUACACUUCAGCUGCAGAUUAAAGGAACCAUGCCAGUUGCUGCUACCGCAGAGAACGGAGAAAUCCUCUACGAGCCCCAUGGGUUUACAGAAGUCUAUCCAUCACUCUGUCAGUCUUCCGGAUCAUUAUUCAAGUUGCUAUCCCCAAUUUUGCUGGAUAUAUCAGAUCAACUCCAGCUCCAUAGUCCCGUUCCCAGGAUCUAGAACAGCACCUGAUACCAGAUAACUGUUGGUUGAAUGGAUGAUUAAAUUAUAAAAUGCAAGUCAAGGAACAGAGCAACAGGAGUUUGGAGUGGAACCGGAUCACACACAUCUUCUGAUCACUAUAUAAAUAUUUUCCCAGAUGAUCCUAACAAAUAAGGCUACAAGACGGAUAGUGUGCUUUCUUCCUAUAUUUAAAGACAGCAAAGUGGAAAGCUGAUGAAUAUUAUAAGGACACACUGAAUAGUGCAUCGUUACUAUGGCAAUAAAAAAGAGAACCAAUGUCCACAUAUUUUUUGGUAAAAUUCCAUCUCUCUGGGUAAAAUUUUACAGUUCUCUGCAUUAGAUGUAAGCAAAUAUUCUUCAUGUAACAUUUUAAAUUAAAUAUUUCCAUUGAAUUUA